CGCGUAGGCGGCUUGACAAGUCACUUGUGAAAUCUCCGGGCUUAACUCGGAAUGGCCAAGUGAAACUGUCAUGCUAGAGUGCAGAAGGGGCAAUCGGAAUUCUUGGUGUAGCGGUGAAAUGCGUAGAUAUCAAGAGGAACACCUGAGGUGAAGACGGGUUGCUGGGCUGACACUGACGCUGAGGCGCGAAAGGCCAGGGGAGCAAACG
Molecule: ribosomal RNA, 208 nt
Filed under: uncultured bacterium
Lineage: Bacteria
Description: partial 16S ribosomal RNA
Rfam family: Bacterial small subunit ribosomal RNA
Source: RNAcentral